GGAGAAAGUAAAGUGGCGCACGGGUGAGUAACACGUGGGUAAUCUACCCUUGAAUUUGGGAUAACUUCGCGAAAGCGAUGCUAAUACCGAAUAUUAUAGUUUUAACUCCGGUUUUAAUUAUGAAAGGUGACCUCUUCUUGAAAGUUGCCGUUUAAGGAUGAGCCCGCGUACCAUUAGCUAGUUGGUAGGGUAAUGGCCUACCAAGGCUACGAUGGUUAGCUGGUCUGAGAGGAUGACCAGCCACACUGGAACUGAAACACGGUCCAGACUCCUACGGGAGGCAGCAGUAGGAAUUUUGCGCAAUGGGGGAAACCCUGACGCAGCAACGCCGCGUGAGUGAAGAAGGCUUUCGGGUCGUAAAGCUCUGUCAGAUGGGAAAAAAGUUCAUUGAUUAAUAGUCUAUGAAUCUGAUGGUACCAUCAGAGGAAGCACCGGCUAACUCCGUGCCAGCAACCGCGGUAAUACGGAGGGUGCAAGCGUUGUUCGGAAUUACUGGGCGUAAAGAGCGUGUAGGCGGUAUGAUAAGUCAGAUGUGAAAGCCCUGGGCUUAACCUAGGAAGUGCAUUUGAUACUGUCAUUCUUGAGUAUGGGAGAGGAGAGUGGAAUUCCCAGUGUAGAAGUGAAAUUCGUAGAUAUUGGGAGGAACACCCGUGGCGAAGGCGACUCUCUGGACCAAUACUGACGCUGAGACGCGAAAGCGUGGGGAGCAAACAGGAUUAGAUACCCUGGUAGUCCACGCUGUAAACUAUGAGAACUAGGUGUAGCGGGUAUUGACCCCUGCUGUGCCGAGGCUAACGCAUUAAGUUCUCCGCCUGGGGAGUACGGCCGCAAGGCUAAAACUCAAAGGAAUUGACGGGGACCCGCACAAGCGGUGGAGCAUGUGGUUUAAUUCGACGCAACGCGAAGAACCUUACCUGGAUUUGACAUCCUCUGACAACCAUAGAGAUAUGGCUUUUUAUGCUUGCAUAAACAGAGUGACAGGUGCUGCAUGGCUGUCGUCAGCUCGUGUCGUGAGAUGUUGGGUUAAGUCCCGCAACGAGCGCAACCCUUGUUUUUAGUUGCCAUUAUUAAGUUAGGCACUCUAGAAAUACUGCCUCGGUUAACGGGGAGGAAGGUGGGGAUGACGUCAAGUCCUCAUGGCCUUUAUAUCCAGGGCUACACACGUGCUACAAUGGGCUGUACAAAGAGUUGCCACUUCGCGAGAA
This 1205-nucleotide ribosomal RNA is filed under the name metagenome. RNAcentral describes it as "bacterial SSU rRNA". It matches the Rfam family "Bacterial small subunit ribosomal RNA", at positions 83 to 1263 of the family's 1533-position model. The record is from RNAcentral.